GGUGCUGCCCCCUAGCCGCAGCUGACCCCGCUUUGUCACGAGGUGCCCCUCACCCUUGCAUGCACUCCCCGCGCCCCAGCACACACUGCUGGCUCUCGGGCCCAGGUCUUGUCCUCUCUGCUUUCCCUCCCAGGUUUCAGAGAGGCAGGGAAACUCACUACAGCCUGGAAAUUUCAGAUAUUUCACAAGACCUAGAGCCGUCCAAGAGUGUGUUCCUUUAGGGCAUACGGAGAGUAAUGUGAAGGCCACACAGUGAGCUGGAACUGAAGCCACACCUGUCCUACCUGAGACCUCUUCACCUCCCCGCACCCGCCCCGUGAAAUGCUUGGCCCAGUGUCUGACAUAGUGUGCAGGUGUUGUGCAGGAGAAGCUGGCACACUUUGUUGAGAUGCUAAACACACACCUGGCCAGGUGUCCAAGAAGCUGAUGGAGGAUCGGGGGAAGGCAGAGUGGUAGCAGGCCUGCCUGCUGUCCACGACGACAGGGUGAGCCAGCAGAUGAGUGACAACAUGUGUGAGCUACGAAAGUGCCUGCCCGAACCUUCUGAACAUUAAAAAAAUCUGCAUUAGUCACUAUUGCUGUGUAACAAAUUACCCCCAAAGUCAGUAGAUUAAAGCAACAUAAAUUUGU
Long non-coding RNA from Galeopterus variegatus (Sunda flying lemur), 630 nucleotides. RefSeq lists it as uncharacterized. NCBI's taxonomy places the organism in Eukaryota, Metazoa, Chordata, Mammalia, Dermoptera, Cynocephalidae. The transcript has 2 exons. The record is from RefSeq and is a predicted model, not a curated record.